This is a ribosomal RNA of 437 nucleotides. It matches the Rfam family "Bacterial large subunit ribosomal RNA", at positions 1835 to 2602 of the family's 2925-position model.
AACUGGGUGUAUUAUAUGCUUAGCUUGCUCUGCUCAAUGAGUAUUUAAAUAGCCGCAGUACCCUGACUGUGCAAAGGUAGCAUAAUCAGUUGGCUCAUAAUUGGAGUCUUGUAUGAACGAGUGUAUGGGCAAGAGCUGUCUCUAAAUAAUAAAUGAAUUUUUUUAGUAAGUGAAAACACUUACGUCAAACUAAAAGACGAGAAGACCCUAGAAAUUUUACAUUAAAGGUGCAUGGUGCGUUUUUGUGUUUUGCUGGGGCGGCAGAGUAACAUUUAAUAACUUGCUCUAUAAAUUAGUCAUUUUUUUAUACAGAAGUUAUAAUUACUCUAGGGAUAACAGCGUAAUUCUGUUGAGUUUGCGACCUCGAUGUUGGACUAGGAAAAAGAAUACUCAGAAGGUAUUUUUCUACGUUCUGUUCGAACGAAUCAUCCUACAUG